UUAAAUGGCCGCGGUAUUUUGACCGUGCUAAGGUAGCAUAAUCAUUAGUUUUUUAAUUGAAAGCUGGAAUGAAUGGUUGGAUGAAAAAAAAACUGUCUCUAUUAAAAUAUAGAAUUUUAUUUUUAAGUUAAAAAGCUUAAAUUAUAUUAAAAGACAAGAAGACCCUAUAGAGUUUAAUAAAAAAUAAUUAGUUUUUAUGAUUAGGAUUUUUUAUAGAGAUAGUUUAUUUAUUUAAUUGGGGUGAUUGAAAAAUUUAAUUAACUUUUUUUAUUAAUAUAUAUAUUUAAAUAAGUAUUUGAUCCAUUUAUUUUGAUUAUAAGAUUAAAUUACCUUAGGGAUAACAGCGUAAUUUUACUAGAGAGUU
This 364-nucleotide ribosomal RNA is filed under the name Meristata sp. BMNH 846556. RNAcentral's name for it is "partial 16S ribosomal RNA". Lineage: Eukaryota; Metazoa; Arthropoda; Insecta; Coleoptera; Chrysomelidae. The record is from RNAcentral.